Molecule: ribosomal RNA, 263 nt
Filed under: uncultured bacterium
Lineage: Bacteria
Description: partial 16S ribosomal RNA
Rfam family: Bacterial small subunit ribosomal RNA
Source: RNAcentral
AUUAGUGGCGGACGGGUGAGUAACGCGUGGAUAACCUGCCGUAUACAGGGGGAUAACACUUGGAAAUAGGUGCUAAUACCGCAUAAGCGCACGGUUCCGCAUGGAACAGUGUGAAAAACUCCGGUGGUAUACGAUGGAUCCGCGUCUGAUUAGCCAGUUGGUGGGGUAACGGCCCACCAAAGCGACGAUCAGUAGCCGGCCUGAGAGGGUGAACGGCCACAUUGGGACUGAGACACGGCCCAAACUCCUACGGAAGGCAGCAG